ACGAGUGGCGGACGGGUGAGUAACACGUGGGUAACCUGCCCUUAUGUGGGGGAUAACAUUUGGAAACAGAUGCUAAUACCGCAUAGAUCCAAGAACCGCAGGGUUCUUGGCUGAAAGAUGGCGUAUGCUAUCGCUUUUGGAUGGACCCGCGGCGUAUUACCUAGUUGGUGAGGUAAUGGCUCACCAAGGCGAUGAUACGUAGCCGAACUGAGAGGUUGAUCGGCCACAUUGGGACUGAUACACGGCCCAAACUCCUACGGGAGGGGCAGUAGGGAAUCUUCCACAAUGGACGCAAGUCUGAUGGAGCAACGCCACGUGAGUGAAGAAGGCUUUCGGGUCGUAGAACUCUGUUGUUGGAAAAGAAUGGUCGGCAGAGUAACUGUUGUCGGCGUGACGGUAUCCAACCAGAAAGCCACGGCUAACUACGUGCCAGCAGCCGCGGUAAUACGUAGGUGGCAAGCGUUAUCCGGAUUUAUUGGGCGUAAAGCGAGCGCAGGCGGUUUUUUAAGUCUGAUGUGAAAGCCUUCGGCUUAACCGGAGAAGUGCAUCGGAAACUGGAUAACUUGAGUGCAGAAGAGGGUAGUGGAACUCCAUGUGUAGCGGUGGAAUGCGUAGAUAUAUGGAAGAACACCAGUGGCGAAGGCGGCUACCUGGUCUGCAACUGACGCUGAGACUCGAAAGCAUGGGUAGCGAACAGGAUUAGAUACCCUGGUAGUCCAUGCCGUAAACGAUGAGUGCUAGGUGUUGGAGGGUUUCCGCCCUUCAGUGCCGGAGCUAACGCAUUAAGCACUCCGCCUGGGGAGUACGACCGCAAGGUUGAAACUCAAAGGAAUUGACGGGCGCCCGCACAAGCACAGGAGCAUGUGGUUUAAUUGGACACAACGCGAAGAACCUUACCAGGUCUUGACAUCUUUCGAUCACGAGAGACAUCAGGUAUCCCCCCCGGGGGCAAAAAAACAGUAAAGGCAAGGUUGUGAUCAGCUCGUGUCGUGAGAUGUUGGGUUAAGUCCCGCAACGAGCGCAACCCCUAUGACUAGUUGCCAGCACAUAGUUGGGCACUCUAGUAAAGCUGCCGGUGACAAACCGGAGGAAGGUGGGGAUGACGUCAAAUCAUCAUGCCCCUUAUGACCUGGGCUACACACCCGCUACAAUGGACGGCACAACGAGUUGCGAGACCGCGAGGUCAAGCUAAUCUCUUAAAGCCAUUCUCACUUCGGACUGUAGGCGGCAACUCGCCCACACGAAGUUGGAAUCGCUAGUAAUCGCGGAUCAGCACGCCGCGGAGAAUACGUUCCCGGGCCUUGUACACACCGCCCGUCACACCAUGAGAGUUUGUAACACCCGAAGCCGGUGGCGUAACCCUUUUAGGGAGCGAGCCGUUUAAGGUGGGACAAAUGAGUAGG
RNAcentral lists this ribosomal RNA (1403 nucleotides) under Lacticaseibacillus paracasei. Its description in RNAcentral is "Lactobacillus paracasei 16S ribosomal RNA". It matches the Rfam family "Bacterial small subunit ribosomal RNA". The record is from RNAcentral. Lineage: Bacteria; Bacillati; Bacillota; Bacilli; Lactobacillales; Lactobacillaceae.